AACGAACGCUGACGGCGUGCCUAACACAUGCAAGUCGAACGAGAAAAUUCCGGCUUGCCGGGAUGAGUAAAGUGGCGCACGGGUGAGUAACGCGUGGGUUAUCUGCCUUCAAGUUAGGGAUAACACUGCGAAAGCGGUGCUAAUACCUGAUAAGCUCACAGUCUUAAAAACAGUGGGAAAAGGUGGCCUCUGACAUAAGCUAUCGCUUGAAGAUGAGCUCGCGUACCAUUAGCUAGUUGGUAGGGUAAUGGCCUACCAAGGCAACGAUGGUUAGCUGGCCUGAGAGGGCGGCCAGCCGACACUGGAACUGAGAUACGGUCCAGACUCCUACGGGAGGCAGCAGUGGGGAAUAUUGCGCAAUGGGGGAAACCCUGACGCAGCGACGCCGUGUGAGUGAUGAAGGUUUUCGGAUCGUAAAGCUCUGUCGGAUGGGACGAAUAAGAGUUGAGUAAAUAAUUCAAUUCGAUGACGGUACCGUCGAAGGAAGCACCGGCUAACUCCGUG
This 504-nucleotide ribosomal RNA is filed under the name uncultured bacterium. RNAcentral's name for it is "bacterial SSU rRNA". It matches the Rfam family "Bacterial small subunit ribosomal RNA", at positions 29 to 507 of the family's 1533-position model. The record is from RNAcentral.